AUGGGGAGAGGCUGGCGAUGAACAUGCAGAGAGGAGCAAAACAAUGACUGAUGAAAAGAAAAUUCUUCUCAGUCUAAUCGAAGGAAGAAGACGGGUAGACUCACAAGAACACAGCAUAAGAAACUUCCUUUGACAUCUUGACAUGGACGGCACAUCUGGGCUACAGCCGCAGCCCUAGCUUUCUGGCUGAUCUUCCCAGGACCCUCAAGUCACCAUUUUGAAAGCUUGACAUGAAUCAUCCUGCUGACCUUUCCUGCUUAGAAGCCUGCUUGGACUCCAUUCUGCCUGCCCAGGAAAAUGUCCAAAUAUUAUCCUCAGUCAUAUUUGGUAAAACCAGUCUCCCAAUUCCA
This is a long non-coding RNA of Hyaena hyaena (striped hyena), 350 nucleotides long. RefSeq lists it as uncharacterized. The record is from RefSeq and is a predicted model, not a curated record. Lineage: Eukaryota; Metazoa; Chordata; Mammalia; Carnivora; Hyaenidae. The transcript has 2 exons.